Molecule: ribosomal RNA, 433 nt
Filed under: uncultured bacterium
Lineage: Bacteria
Description: partial 16S ribosomal RNA
Rfam family: Bacterial small subunit ribosomal RNA
Source: RNAcentral
AACGAACGCUGGCGGCAUGCCUAACACAUGCAAGUCGAACGAGACCUCCGGGUCUAGUGGCGCACGGGUGCGUAACGCGUGGGAACCUGCCCUUAGGUUCGGAAUAACUCCCCGAAAGGGGUGCUAAUACCGGAUAAUGUCUUCGGACCAAAGAUUUAUCGCCUUUGGAUGGGCCCGCGUUGGAUUAGCUAGUUGGUAGGGUAAGAGCCUACCAAGGCGACGAUCCAUAGCUGGUCUGAGAGGAUGAUCAGCCACACUGGGACUGAGACACGGCCCAGACUCCUACGGGAGGCAGCAGUGGGGAAUAUUGGACAAUGGGCGAAAGCCUGAUCCAGCAAUGCCGCGUGAGUGAUGAAGGCCUUAGGGUUGUAAAGCUCUUUUACCCGGGAUGAUAAUGACAGUACCGGGAGAAUAAGCUCCGGCUAACUCCGUG